CCGACAGGGAAGGUGGGCGAGGCCCCGCGCAGCCGUGGCGUCCAGACCCCCCGACGGAUGGGCGCUAGUCGUGGUUGGCUUCCUGCGGCGGCGAGGUGGGGGAAAGGUAGGAGCGGCCGUGGCAGCCGGGUGGGCGGCUAUGGAGGUUGGCUCGCUGCAUCGGCGAGGUGGUGGAAAGGGAGUAGCGGGCGUGGCAGCUAGGUGGUCGGCUUCCUCGACCAAUGCACACACUCCUCUACCAGUACAAUCAUAUCCGAGAUCAGCAUCGAGGAGUGCAGCAUAACAAAGUCGGCAGCACUCAACCACAAAAAGCUACACGUUUGCAAACAACUGAAAGAAAGAUCAGUAUAUUGGAGAAGGCUUUGGAGCUCAAUCCAGAUAACGAGGAAUUGUUGCUUUGCAUUCUGAAGUCAUUUGGUGAGAGAUAUAGCACUGAGAGUCUCUUUGGUAAAUGGGAGAAAAUACUUAUGGAACGCCUUGACAGUUGUAAAUUGUGGAAACAAUAUCUAAUUAUUUGCCAAGUGGAGUUCUCCAGACUCAAAGUAUCUGAUACGCGGAAGUCUUACACAUAUGCAGUAGACACAGCCUUAGACAACUUAUCUGUUCCCCGCCCCUUCUCUCCCUCUCUUCGCAUAGUAUGUUGUAGUUCUUAAAAUAUCUUCUUCACUUUGCCACAGGAUAGUCAAAAUGUUGAUCUCAAGGCACAACUUUCCUUACUUCAUCUUGAACUUGGUUUAAUGGAUAUAUUUGUGAAUCU
Molecule: long non-coding RNA, 757 nt
Organism: Lolium rigidum
Lineage: Eukaryota; Viridiplantae; Streptophyta; Magnoliopsida; Poales; Poaceae
Exons: 2
Source: RefSeq, a predicted model, not a curated record